UGGGGAAUAUUGCACAAUGGGCGCAAGCCUGAUGCAGCCAUGCCGCGUGUGUGAAGAAGGCCUUCGGGUUGUAAAGCACUUUCAGCGAGGAGGAAGGUGGUGAGCUUAAUACGCUCAUCAAUUGACGUUACUCGCAGAAGAAGCACCGGCUAACUCCGUGCCAGCAGCCGCGGUAAUACGGAGGGUGCAAGCGUUAAUCGGAAUUACUGGGCGUAAAGCGCACGCAGGCGGUUUGUUAAGUCAGAUGUGAAAUCCCCGGGCUCAACCUGGGAACUGCAUUUGAAACUGGCAAGCUAGAGUCUCGUAGAGGGGGGUAGAAUUCCAGGUGUAGCGGUGAAAUGCGUAGAGAUCUGGAGGAAUACCGGUGGCGAAGGCGGCCCCCCUGGACGAAGACUGACGCUCAGGUGCGAAAGCGUGGGGCAGCAAACAGGAUUAGAUACCCUGGUAGUCCACGCUGUAAACGAUGUCGAUUUGGAGGUUGUGCCCUUGAGGCGUGGCUUCCGGAGCUAACGCGUUAAAUCGACCGCCUGGGGGAGUAC
RNAcentral lists this ribosomal RNA (539 nucleotides) under uncultured bacterium. RNAcentral describes it as "partial 16S ribosomal RNA". It matches the Rfam family "Bacterial small subunit ribosomal RNA", at positions 355 to 883 of the family's 1533-position model. The record is from RNAcentral.